Molecule: ribosomal RNA, 117 nt
Filed under: Danio rerio (zebrafish)
Lineage: Eukaryota; Metazoa; Chordata; Actinopteri; Cypriniformes; Danionidae
Source: RNAcentral
GGCCACAGCCAUAUCAGUCUGCAGCCAAAGACCGGUUACUCACUGAAGCUAAGCAGGGCUGAGCCUGGCCAAUACCUGGAUAGGAGACCACAUGGGAAAACUAGGUUGCUGUUGGAA